Neofelis nebulosa (Clouded leopard) is the source of this 264-nucleotide long non-coding RNA. RefSeq lists it as uncharacterized. Lineage: Eukaryota; Metazoa; Chordata; Mammalia; Carnivora; Felidae. The transcript is spliced from 2 exons. The record is from RefSeq and is a predicted model, not a curated record.
AGCUUAUGGGUCACAUGAGCUCCCAUCUCCAUCUGGUGUGGCUCCACCUCUUGAAUUUUAAUCUUUGUGGAAAGUACAGGCCUCCAGGAGUUCUGUGGAGCAGAGAAGAGAGUCACCUGGUAUGCUGUGAAGAACAGAGAGCAGGAUGAUGUACAGAAUGAGGAAUAACUGAGGAGAGAUGGUCAGCAUCAUUCAAUGUUACAAAGCUCUGGUCUUAUUUUCUCAACUCAGUCAUUCUUCUGCAAUAUACUGGGAAAGACAACA